This is a long non-coding RNA of Ornithorhynchus anatinus (platypus), 678 nucleotides long. RefSeq lists it as uncharacterized. NCBI's taxonomy places the organism in Eukaryota, Metazoa, Chordata, Mammalia, Monotremata, Ornithorhynchidae. The record is from RefSeq and is a predicted model, not a curated record. The transcript has 3 exons.
AGGUCAUGCUGCUCCUCCAAUCUGCUGCUGAAAUGCUCUCAGGAUUAGGAAUGCCUUGCUGGAGAGUGUGGAGGCCAGACUAAAGCUUGCCAUGUCCUGCCUUAAGACACUGGGUGCAGUGAGCAACUAGAUCGGCAGAGGUACAACACACCACGAAGAUAUUUAAGGCAAUACUUGGGUAUGGGCUGUUGAAGGAAAAACAUUUCUCAAGUGGGGAGAGGAAGCGGUGGAUUUCAUGAAGAGUGAUUCAGUGACAAUCGAAGGGAGUGAAGAAUGGGAGAACAAAAUGCAAUGAUCGUGUUUACAGUCCUUGGAGGGCACACCCCACGCUUCACCUAGGGGAUGGCGAAUAUCUCAGCACGGUGAUCCAACUGACCUGUGUAAUUUAGUACAUUCAGCAGCAGCUACUAAUCACCUGCUUUUUACCUACCACCCACAGCAUCAUAUUGGCAGUCUAGGUGAGUGAGCCUUUCUAUGGACUCAUUUAGUCAUUCUGUCAUACGGCCUUUGAUGUGACUAUUAAACCUUAGAGACUGGCUACUUUUUGGAGAAACUGGAAGGAGAAAACACUCAUGCAAGCCUGUCAAAGGGCAGGGACUAUCUAUCUCUUACCGAUUUGUACAUUCCAAGAGCUUAGUACAGUGUAAGCGCUCAAUAAAUACUAUUGAAUGAAUGAAU